GUGGGGAAUAUUGGACAAUGGGCGAAAGCCUGAUCCAGCCAUGCCGCGUGUGUGAAGAAGGUCUUCGGAUUGUAAAGCACUUUAAGUUGGGAGGAAGGGCAGUAAGUUAAUACCUUGCUGUUUUGACGUUACCAACAGAAUAAGCACCGGCUAACUUCGUGCCAGCAGCCGCGGUAAUACGAAGGGUGCAAGCGUUAAUCGGAAUUACUGGGCGUAAAGCGCGCGUAGGUGGUUUUGUAAGUUGAAGGUGAAAUCCCCGGGCUCAACCUGGGAACUGCCUCCAAAACUGCAUGACUAGAGUACGGUAGAGGGUAGUGGAAUUUCCUGUGUAGCGGUGAAAUGCGUAGAUAUAGGAAGGAACACCAGUGGCGAAGGCGACUACCUGGACUGAUACUGACACUGAGGUGCGAAAGCGUGGGGAGCAAACAGGAUUAGAUACCCUUGUAGUCC
This 450-nucleotide ribosomal RNA is filed under the name uncultured bacterium. Its description in RNAcentral is "partial 16S ribosomal RNA". It matches the Rfam family "Bacterial small subunit ribosomal RNA", at positions 354 to 796 of the family's 1533-position model. The record is from RNAcentral.